This 145-nucleotide microRNA precursor is filed under the name Gossypium hirsutum (cotton). RNAcentral describes it as "MIR7502 microRNA precursor family". It matches the Rfam family "MIR7502 microRNA precursor family". The record is from Rfam by way of RNAcentral. Lineage: Eukaryota; Viridiplantae; Streptophyta; Magnoliopsida; Malvales; Malvaceae.
GAUUAAAGAGUAAAUUGAUUCUUUCUGUUAAAAAUUGACGUGGUUGACAGAAUAACCAGACAGUUGCACAUGGAGUGCUACAUGUACCUCAUGCUUAUGUAUAGGGAUCAAUUUUUAACAAUAAAAAUCGGCGAAAUGUUCAACA